AUCAACAAAAAGGGAUGGUGCUUCUCUGCAGGCUUUCACUCUUUGGGGAUUGCACUGCAGCCUACAGUGCUGUGAGGGCGCUCCUUGAGAGUGGCUUCCCAUGCUGGUUGUCUUUGAGGGUAGCGUGGGACUUUUUGGAGAGAUGUGAGAGCAAUGGGUUGUUCUGCUAGUGCAGCUGCUUCCCAGCUGGUGGGUUGGAGGAAACACUUAUAGCAUAGCAAAUGGCAUUUGUUGCAUGUCCAAACCACUGUGUUGAUAAAGCUUUUAAUUCAGCGUGAGCAAAGCAGAUGAAAGGACAUGAGGAAUCACAGUCCCCUUGCAGUCCGUGCUUUUGUCCAUCUGAGGCCACUGCUGUUUUCUUCAAACCAUGCUGGGUAAAGAAACUGGCUCCCACUUGUGUGACUUCUGAGUGCUGUGUAAUCUGCCACUGAGACAAGGAACACUGAGGAAAGAGCAGUUUGGGAUAAUUGAAAAAUAAUGUUUUCUGCUCAUAUAAUGUGUUUACCACUGCAGUGGUUUGUGAAACCAUGUAUGCAGAGCAGUGGCGGGCUGCAGCUCUCAAGGGUGCUCCAGGAUGGCUAAUGUGACAAACAAAUGUAUUCCAGAGCAGCAUCCUUCACAGGGCAGCUGGCACCUUCUGUGUAAUGUGCACUGUGGAUCCUCAGAUCAUGCAACAUCCCAAGUGACAGGGAGUGAAGGUCUCUGUGAGGAGCUGCCUACAUUGCUGAACUGCCAGAGUGAAGAGCUGAAGAGCUACAGUGCGCAAGUAAAUUAGCAGCACACCAGCGGAAAUGCUCACUGCAGAAAAUCAGGCAGAGCCUGCUAGGAUUUGAAGAAAAGUGUUUCUCAUUUUGCACCUUUCUUCAGCUUCCCCGUUACCCACCCAGCCUCCUACUUAUGAAGAAGAUCCUAUUUCUUGUCUAGGUGCUGUUUAUCGACCUUCAAACACAAAAAUGCAGAAAGGGUGGAAGGGAGGAACAUAGCUUCAAGGGAACAGACUACAACAGCAAAUUGGAACAAGCACGGAUGCAGCUUGCAGGUCAGGGUGUAUGUGGGAGAAACUCGUUUGUCUGCAGUGAGGAAGUGUAUCCUCUAAGGAGGCAUCAGCCAGCCUCCAGAAGGGACAGGCAUCAGUGGAGUUAAAAUAUUACUCCCUAGGGGUGACCAUUCACAGUCCAUGGAAAAUGUUAUGCAGCGAAAGGGUUUGCAUGAAUUUCACUUCUGAAAAGACAGAAGAUAUCUGAUGCUAAGAUAUAAUGCUUGAGCUACUGCUGGACAACCAUACUGCUUUACUUUCUGGACACAAAUACCCAGAUCAGCCAUUUAGUUGUGUGCUCCUGCCCACAGAGACAUUCUUAGUGCCCCCUUCGGCUAUUCAUAUUUUAUGUUUUCAGCAGUAACACAGAUACACCAGGAGAAACUUCAAACAAGAUGGUACACCCAUGAUAGUUUAGGUGACUUAGGGUAAACUGUUUUUACAUCCAAAACAGAAUUAUCCCUGAACAGAUAUUACUGCAACUGAAAGAAGCAUCACCUAGAACACAGGGCAUAUCUUCCCAUGCAAUGGAAGGCGAUGACAGUGCCUUCUAUCAGUAUAGUAGUGACUUGCGGAAAAUCAAACUCCAUAACCACAAAGUGGGUAUAAAGCAGGUAUAUUUUUUAUUACAGCACUGUGCAUGCAUGAUGGGUACAGAGGGAGUAGCCCCUCCUAGCCUGCACACCAGAAAGUGACAGUUUGAUGAUACCUAUAGAGACAAGUUAUACAUAUGCGAGAAUAGGAGGGUAUAUUACAAUUGAUUCUAAGAAACCAGGCAUAGAUUAUUGUGAUAUUACAAUUAGAAUAGGAGGGGACAUUACAAUUGAUUCUAAGAAGUUAUUAUCAUAUUCUCCACCCCAGUGGCUGAGUUAUCAUGACUUGAAGGUUAUAGUGGAAUUCCUAAUUCACAGCCUGAACCAAUACAUGAGCCCUGGCACUUGGCUUGCCCUCCUCAGCAUCCCUUCCUGUAGCAUCUGUUUUGCCUUUGUUCUCUUUACACCCCCUUGCCAACUUCAUAACUAAGCAAAAUGCCAUUCUGGAACAAUUCUAAAGUAAUAUGUUCCACAUCAGUAGGGCUGCCUGUUCCAUGCCCACCACCCGUCUGGUGCAGACUUUUUCCCUGACACAGCUCCAUGCCAUUCCCUCGGGCCCUGUCGCUGUCACACAGAGCAGAGCUCAGCGCUGCCCUCCGCUCCCUGUGAGGAGCUGCAACUGCCAUGAGGGGUCAUCUCAGCUCCUCUGCUUUGCGCUGAGAACGCCCAGGGACCGAAGCUGCUUGUCAUAUAUUCUGCCCUCUAGACCCUUCAUCAUCUUUGCAGCCCUCCUUUGGACAAUCUCUUCCAGAUUUAUGUCCUUUUUGUACUGUGGCACCCAGUGCUGGAGGUGAGGCCGCACAGUGCGGAGCAGAGGGGACAGCCCCUCCCCUUGCCCAGUGGCAGUGCUGGGCCUGCUGUACCCCAGGGUACAGUUGGCCCUUUGGGCUCCAGGGCACACUGCUGCCGCAUGUUCAACUUGCUGUCAGACAGGUCCCCAUGAUCCCUUUGCACUCUCCAAACUCUCAUCCCCAGUCUGUAUGUAUAGCCAGGACUGCCCAGUUCCAGAUGCAGAAUCUAGCUCUUGUUCUUGCUUGAAUUCAUUUUAGUAUCUCCAUCCAAUGCCCUUUCAGAUCCUCUAAUCUCCAAUAUAAAUAUUUGUUACCAGAAAACAAAUGAGAAGUAAUAAAAGGUAGACACAAUAAACUCUUGUAGGGAAUGGAGAUAAGAAUCAGAAUAUACUUCUUUUGUUUAAUUCAGUCUUCUGAAAAAGUUAUUUUCAGUUACAUGUAGAAUGCAUUGAAUAGUUCUUUAGUCAUAUUUCACUCUCCAGACUUCAGGUUGUUCAAGCUGUACACUGCUGAUCAAAAAUACUCUGAAGAGUCCAUGAUAAAUCAUAAUCCUUUCCUGGAAUAAGUGGUACAGUUUCUCGUAGAGAUUUGUAGGGUUUUGAUUAUUGUGUGGACACUGCAUUGAAGUGGAAAUGCGUGGUGAUGUUGUCCUCAGUGCAGGGAGGCAUAUAAAUGCAAAGGAUCCAGAGGAACUGAGAAAUAAAGAACAGAAUGAAAAU
Gallus gallus (chicken) is the source of this 3139-nucleotide long non-coding RNA. The record is from Ensembl. NCBI's taxonomy places the organism in Eukaryota, Metazoa, Chordata, Aves, Galliformes, Phasianidae.